RNAcentral lists this long non-coding RNA (333 nucleotides) under Elaeis guineensis (African oil palm). RNAcentral's name for it is "long non-coding RNA (EGUI_LNC016402)". Lineage: Eukaryota; Viridiplantae; Streptophyta; Magnoliopsida; Arecales; Arecaceae. The record is from RNAcentral.
UGGACGAGCAAACCCGUGCGGCGCCCCGAUGUCACCUGCACAAAGGAGCCAGCCAAAAUGCACCCAGCAAGAUGCACAGAAAAAUACAAGAAAAAGGCACGGCAACACGCUCAGAUAUGGCACUGUAAGAACAGUAUUUUCAUUAAUGAAAUCAGAGGAAUACAAGCCUAUACAACCGCUACUCAGACUACAAUUAGGGGCUCAGGAGGCAGGGGAGGCAACAAUGGACACCGCAAGAAUCUGCAAGGAAACCGGCCCACUGGAUUGUUCUCGCCCACCCUCCCAACACUAUACAAGCAGGGCAUCCACCCAAAUCCCACCCCGGGGGUUNNN